Molecule: ribosomal RNA, 226 nt
Filed under: uncultured bacterium
Lineage: Bacteria
Description: partial 16S ribosomal RNA
Rfam family: Bacterial small subunit ribosomal RNA
Source: RNAcentral
CGUAACACGUGAGCAACCUACCGAACUGUGGGGGGAUAGCCGGCCUAACGGCCGAGUAAUACCGCAUACGCUUUCAGUGAGGCAUUUCAUUGAAAGGAAACCUACGGGACAGAUCGAGGGGCUCGCGGCCUAUCAGCUAGUUGGCGAGGUAACGGCUCACCAAGGCAACGACGGGUAGCUGGUCUGAGAGGAUGGCCAGCCACAUUGGGACUGAGAUACGGCCCAG